GACGAACGCUGGCGGCGUGCUUAACACAUGCAAGUCGAGCGGUAAGGCCUCUUCGGGGGUACACGAGCGGCGAACGGGUGAGUAACACGUGGGUGACCUGCCCUCAGCUCUGGGAUAAGC
Molecule: ribosomal RNA, 120 nt
Filed under: uncultured bacterium
Lineage: Bacteria
Description: partial 16S ribosomal RNA
Rfam family: Bacterial small subunit ribosomal RNA
Source: RNAcentral